RNAcentral lists this unclassified non-coding RNA (259 nucleotides) under fungal sp. RNAcentral describes it as "partial contains 5.8S ribosomal RNA, internal transcribed spacer 2, and large subunit ribosomal RNA". The record is from RNAcentral. Lineage: Eukaryota; Fungi.
CGCACCUUGCACCCUCUGGUAUUCCGGAGGGUAUGCCUGUCCGAGUGUCUUGAAAACCUCACACCUCCCGGGUCCUGCCCGGGUGGAAGUGGAUUUGGGCGUUGCCGUCUCGGCUCGCCUUAAAUGCCUUAGCGGUCCCUCGGGGGAUGGCCCUUGCGUGAUACGUUUCGCUCGGUCCUGAACCUUUGGUCCGCUCAGAACAACCAAGCCUUUCAUACACCUUGACCUCGGAUCAGGUAGGACUACCCGCUGAACUUAA